AAAUUCAAGUCAAAGUAAUGAAAAUCAUGUCAUAUUAACAAUCAUGCAAGUCAAAACAUGAAUAAAGGAAAACUCUUAUGUACUUUAAACUUUAAAUUUAUAUGAUAAUGCCAUAACUUCAAGAAUAUGAGAAUUUGGCUAUGAACCCUAAUUGAAAUCAUAUAAAUUCAACUUUAAAACCAAGUUUUUAGGCAUAAGGAUGAAAGAUUAUCCUUUCUCAAACCCCACAUACCUAGAUUUGCUUGACUUCCUUGAAGGAAAUUUAGACUUGGAGACUUGAGCAGUGAAUUUGAAUAAGAAAUCCUAGACUUAUUGUUCUUAAGAGUGGGAGAAGAAAGGACAUCUUUAACUGACUAAGAAUAGGGG
This 366-nucleotide long non-coding RNA is filed under the name Capsicum annuum. RNAcentral describes it as "long non-coding RNA (CANN_LNC009845)". Lineage: Eukaryota; Viridiplantae; Streptophyta; Magnoliopsida; Solanales; Solanaceae. The record is from RNAcentral.